AAUGGGGUGCCUGACAAAAAGGACUAUCUUGAUAGGAUAUCUCAUGUAAAUCAAUUUUACCCCCAUUU
RNAcentral lists this transfer RNA (68 nucleotides) under Elateroidea sp. 9 KM-2017. RNAcentral describes it as "tRNA-Ile". Lineage: Eukaryota; Metazoa; Arthropoda; Insecta; Coleoptera. The record is from RNAcentral.